RNA transcript from Culex pipiens pallens (northern house mosquito), 1388 nucleotides. RefSeq lists it as uncharacterized. The record is from RefSeq and is a predicted model, not a curated record. Lineage: Eukaryota; Metazoa; Arthropoda; Insecta; Diptera; Culicidae. The transcript is spliced from 5 exons.
CCCAGCUCGGUGAACACACGUUCGUUCGGUCGUGUAGGUCGGUUUUCUUCGUCUGCAUCGAUUCUUCGGGGAUUCUCAAGUAGCAGCAAUCGAUCGUCGUUCUGAUCAACCCACCCCGCGCGUCGUUGAUCCAGGUCCAGAACAUCGAUACUCGUAUCAUCGGCCACCAGUUCCAGCAGAAGUUGUGUCCAGGCAGGAAGCAAAUCUUGGAGGUUCCUCGGAGGUGGCUUUGCGAUAACAGCAGAUCUUUAGCAGUUUGGAGAAACGUGUUCCACAAGAGGCCUUCCUCUUCUAGAAGCACCGUGGUAGGACCGUGUUCUUGCGGGAAGUUUCGCGUUGUUGCCAGAACCGAAAAUCGAUUUCUCGGUCGGUUCUCUGCGGUGAAACAAAAAAUAAACAAGUGUUUUGUGGUGGAAAUUUGCUCACGUUUCACGGUUCGGUGCCGCUUCAACAGAGCCCGUCAAGGAAAAGAGUUGUUGUGCAUUUGUGCAAAAGUAGAAAAAAAAGUGAAUCAGUGGAAAAAAUUUCAAGUGUCUGUCGUUGCACACACACAGAGUGUGAGUUGAAGCAAAUCGAAAAAUUAAUACCCAUUCGCCGCUUAGUGAAAUCAUUAAAGUGAGCGAGCGUGAGUUGUAGAGUAAAACCAAGAAAAUACGUGGAAUUGUACGUGUUGUGUCGUCAGUCAGACGUGUACACACACCUUGGCAACACCUUUUUUUCGCGGGUGGUGAAAUACGAAAAUUUUGCAUUAUUUGGAGUACCAGCAGCAGCCAGGUCUUCGGCGUCAUACAAGGAACAAAAAAUCAAAUAGAAACACACCACCAGAACCAGUGAUCGUAGUACAACUUAGCGUUUAGUCAAUAGCAAACAUCCCACUGAUUUAAGGCUUUACAAUAACCUAAAAAAAGGCAAAACCCAUCACUACCGUAAAUCUGUUCCCGAGAGCUUGAGAUAUACUACACAAUUUGGAACCAGUUCAGCACCGCGCAGACAUCGACCUAAUCACUGGCCAGCACCAGUUGAGACUCCGGCAGACACACCCCCAAAAAAUACAACAUCCCUUAGCCCACAAAAUGAAUUGAUCUCGUUCGCACGUAGAAUCCCAGCAGAAAGCGAGGGUGUUGUAGAACACUUUCAUACGAGUUGCUCAAAAGCACAGGGCGGAAGGGACUGACAAGGAGAACGGAUUACCACCACCACCACCGGCUUCACCAUGGUUGACUACUACAAAACCCUGGACGUGGCGAGGACGGCCACGGAGGCAGAAAUCAAAAAAGCAUACAAAAAACUAGCGCUACGAUGGCACCCGGAUAAAAAUCCAGACAACCCAGAGGAAUCAAACAGACGGUUCAAAGAGAUCUCAGAGGCGUACGAAGUUUUAUCAGAUG